Molecule: ribosomal RNA, 468 nt
Filed under: uncultured bacterium
Lineage: Bacteria
Description: bacterial SSU rRNA
Rfam family: Bacterial small subunit ribosomal RNA
Source: RNAcentral
GACACGCUGGCGGCGUGCCUAACACAUGCAAGUCGAACGGAGAUAGGUUGAAAGCUUGCUGGAUACUUAUCUUAGUGGCGGACGGGCGAGUAACGCGUGAGCAACCCGCCCCAGACUGGGGGAUAACGUCGGGAAACCGGCGCUAAUACCGCAUAACACUGCGAAGCCGCAUGGUUUUGCAGUCAAAGCUCCGGCGGUUUGGGAUGGGCUCGCGUCCAAUUAGCUAGUUGGUGAGGUAACGGCCCACCAAGGCGACGAUUGGUAGCCGAACUGAGAGGUUGAUCGGCCGCAUUGGGACUGAGACACGGCCCAGACUCCUACGGGAGGCAGCAGUGGGGAAUAUUGCGCAAUGGGGGAAACCCUGACGCAGCAACGCCGCGUGAAGGAAGAAGGCCUUCGGGUUGUAAACUUCUUUGAUCGGGGACGAAGAUGACGGUACCCGAGGAACAAGCCACGGCUAACUACGUG